AGCUGGUGCACCACGGCGUGGGCGCUGCCCUUGUAGGGCACCUGCCCCUCGAUCCCCUCGGGGACCAGCUU
RNAcentral lists this transfer RNA (71 nucleotides) under Wenxinia marina. RNAcentral describes it as "tRNA-Thr". The record is from RNAcentral. Lineage: Bacteria; Pseudomonadati; Pseudomonadota; Alphaproteobacteria; Rhodobacterales; Roseobacteraceae.